This 253-nucleotide ribosomal RNA is filed under the name uncultured bacterium. RNAcentral describes it as "partial 16S ribosomal RNA". It matches the Rfam family "Bacterial small subunit ribosomal RNA", at positions 524 to 776 of the family's 1533-position model. The record is from RNAcentral.
UACGAAGGGGGCUAGCGUUGUCCGGAAUUACUGGGCGUAAAGAGCUCGUAGGUGGUUUGUCGCGUUGUUCGUGAAAACUCACAGCUUAACUGUGGGCGUGCGGGCGAUACGGGCAGACUGGAGUACUGCAGGGGAGACUGGAAUUCCUGGUGUAGCGGUGGAAUGCGCAGAUAUCAGGAGGAACACCGGUGGCGAAGGCGGGUCUCUGGGCAGUAACUGACGCUGAGGAGCGAAAGCGUGGGGAGCGAACAGG